This 1208-nucleotide ribosomal RNA is filed under the name metagenome. RNAcentral's name for it is "SSU rRNA". It matches the Rfam family "Eukaryotic small subunit ribosomal RNA", at positions 3 to 1199 of the family's 1831-position model. The record is from RNAcentral.
CCUGGUUGAUCCUGCCAGUUGUCAUAUGCUCAUCUUGAAGAUUAAGCCAUGCAUGUCUAAGUAUAAAUGACUUUGUACAGUGAAACUGCGAAUGGCUCAAUAAAUCAGUUAUAGUUUAUUUGAUGAUACCUACUACAUGGAUAACUGUGGUAAUUCUAGAGCUAAUACAUGCGACAAGUCCCGACUUUUUGAAGGGAUGCAUUUGUUAGAUACAAAACCAAUGCGCCGGGUCAAACCGGCGGAUUUGGACGAUUCAUGAUAACUUGGCGAAUCGCACGCUCUCGCAGCGGCGAUGCUUCAUUCAAAUUUCUGCCCUAUCAAGUUUUGACGUUAGGGUAGUGGCCUAACGUGCUUGUAACGGGUGACGGAGAAUUAGGGUUCGGUUCCGGAGAGGGCGCCUGAGAGAUGGCGACCACUUCCAAGGAAGGCAGCAGGCGCGCAAAUUACCCAAUGCUCAAAGAGCGAGGUAGUGAAGAUACAUAACAAUAGUGGUCCCUUACGGGACUACUAAUUGGAAUGAGUACAAUUUAAAUCCCUUAACGAGGAACAAUUGGAGGGCAAGUCUGGUGCCAGCAGCCGCGGUAAUUCCAGCUCCAAUAGCGUAUAUAAAAGUUGUUGCAGUUAAAAAGCUCGUAGUCGGAUGUCGGGGCGUGACGGGUCCGGUCUGCCGGAACGGUGUGUACUGGCUCGUCUGCCCUUCCUUCCGGUUUGCCGGCGGCUUCCCUUAACUGGGCGGCCGUCUUCGGCUCCGGAUCGUUUACUUUGAAAAAAUUAGAGUGUUUAAAGCAGACUUCACGUCGUCUUGAAUACAUUAGCAUGGGAUAAUGGAAUAGGCUCUUGCGUCUAUUUUGUUGGUUUCUGGAAGCGAGAGAAUGAUCAAUGGGAAUCGUCGGGGGUAUUCAUAUUUAAUUGUCAGAGGUGAAAUUCUUGGAUUUAUGAAAGAUGAACAUCUGCGAAAGCAUCUAUCAAGGAGGUUUUCAUCGAUCAAGAACGAAAGUUAGGGGAUCGAAGACGAUCAGAUACCGUCGUAGUCUUAACCAUAAACUAUGCCGACCAGGGAUUGGGAGACGUUCCAUGUACGACUCGCCCAGCACCUUGAGAGAAAUCACAAGUCUUUGGGUUCCGGGGGGAGUAUGGUCGCAAGUCUGAAACUUAAAGGAAUUGACGGAAGGGCACCACCAGGAGUGGAGCCUGCGGCUUAAUUUGAC